UCCCCCCAGCCCACUUGACCCUCUUUCAUCUCCGUUCUACUCCUUGUAUCUCGGCCCCCUCGAGCUCGCCUCGAUCCAUGGCCUCUCCUUAAACCUAGAUCCGGUCACGGCCACGGCCGGCUUCGCAGCUCCCGGCCACCAUCGCAUGCGCCUCCCCCCGCAUCUCCCUCAUAUCGCUUGUGCAGCACCGUGGCUAUAUGUCGCCAGCGCCAUCAGCUGCAGCCCCGCUCUAAUCCACCUGCAUGUCAUGGACAAUGGCCAUGGAGGAUGCACCUCCGGCUACUCACUCGUUGUUGGCCUGCCAGUAUCUCCACCAACAUCUCAUCCAUCUAGAUCAGGGGCGCUUUAAUUUCAACAGAUUUUCUUCUUCUUUGCAACAUGGUAAUUUGUUGAGAUAGACUCUUGAUUUUAAUUAUUGCAGAAUGGCGAUCUGCUUUAUGUUGGCUUUAUCAUCUCAGGAUAAUCCAGAUGUUUUCCUAUGCGUUGAGGAGUUGUUGAUGGAUGAUAUACAUAGGCUACCAAGUGGUAGCUCCAAUGUUGCAAUUGAGGUCAACAAUGGGUGCUUCUCCUGGGAUAGCUCACCUGAGAUACCAACACUGAAGGAUCUGAAUUUUCAAGCUCAGCAAGGCAUGCGUGUUGCACUCUGUGGGACGGUCGGCUCUGGAAAAUCAAGUUUGCUCACAUGAAUUCUUUGUAUGGUGCCAAAGCUAUUAGGAGAGGCUAAGACUUGCGGAACAAUGCCAUAUGUCAGCCACACGGCAUGGAUACAGAGCGGCAAAAUUCAGGACAAUACUGCUUGGCAAGGAGAUGGAGAGUAAGAAGUACGGCAGGGUCCUUGAGUGGUAUUCUCUAAAGAAAUACUUGGAGAUCAAAAUCAUUGGAGAGUGAGGCUGCACUCUUAGUGGCAGGCAGAAACAAAGGAUUCAGAUAGCCCGAGCAUUGUAUCAGUAUGCUAACAACUAUUUGUUCCAUGAUUCGUUCAACGCGAUUGAUGCUCAUACAGGAUCCCAAUUUUUCAAGAUCGAUGGUUUCACCGCGGUUGUCGGGAGAAAUAUCAUCAAUGGUAGGGGGAAAGCAGGUACGCCGAGGCGGGCACCCACACCAAGCGGCCGACCCAGGAAGGCAGCCCUGCAGCUCCGCCUCAUGCCACUCCCCAUCUCUAUGUUUGUGUCAGACCCAGCGCAAGGUAGAGGCAGAAGAGGAGGCCGAUAAGAGAAGCUGCAAGGUAGGAGGCUUUUGAUCUGAAGGCAAGUUGGACGAUCUGCUCACAAAGACACACCUCUAUUCUGAAUUUCUACUUGAAAAGAUUGGUCAGAGAAAGUUGUUGAAGUGGAAGAAGAAGAUGAACCUGUAGAAGAGCUGAAAAAGGACGUGGUAGAAAGAAGGAAGCGAAGCCUAAACAGUAUAAUGAUUAUUACCUCGCCCAGCCGCACAUCCAAGACGCGACGCUUGCUGGAAAGCUGGUCAAGUAGGCCCUCGACUGCGACUUUUAGCUGAUUGAUCCUGCACAUUAGCCUUUGCUACAAUAAAGGGACUUACAACAAUGAUGCUUUCUAUAUUGAAUUUUUAUAUUCGACCUCACCAUUGCUUAGUUUCCUUUCCUGAUGUCAAGACACAAAGAAUUUGAGAUUCAAUUUAUCUUUUUUAGUUUUUACA
Non-coding RNA from Triticum urartu, 1656 nucleotides. The record is from RefSeq and is a predicted model, not a curated record. Lineage: Eukaryota; Viridiplantae; Streptophyta; Magnoliopsida; Poales; Poaceae.